Molecule: long non-coding RNA, 2178 nt
Organism: Homo sapiens (human)
Lineage: Eukaryota; Metazoa; Chordata; Mammalia; Primates; Hominidae
Gene: SLC26A4-AS1
Product: SLC26A4 antisense RNA 1
Source: Ensembl
AGGCGUGGACGCCCCGCUCCGCUUCUCUCUACGCAGGCCCGCGCGGCCGCUACCUGCAGCACUUGGCCAGGCUCUCCCGCAGCGUCUUGCGCUCCUGCAGGCGCCGCUCGUGCUGUUGCUGGAAAGCGAGCUCGCUGUAGACCGGCCGCGACACCAUGUAGCUGCAGCUGUACUCGGGGAGCUGCGGCGGCUCCGACCUGCCGCCUGGCGCUGCCAUGACCUGCGAGCCAGAGGACAGCGAGGAGGGAGGACACGCGGCUUAAAACGGCACACCAGGAGAUUAUAUCCCACACCUGGCUUGGAGGAGGAUCCUACGCCCAUGGAGUCUCGCUCAUUGCUAGCACAGCAGUCCGAGAUCAAACUGCAAGGCAGUAGCGAGGCUGGGGGAGGGGCGCCAGCCAUUGCCAAGUUAGUUGUUUGAUUAGGUAAACAAAGCGGCUGGGAAGCUCGAACUGGAUGGAGCCCACCACAGCUCAAGGAGGCCUGCCUACCUCUGUAGGCUCCACCUCUGGGGGAAGGGCACAGACAAACAAAAAGACAGCAGUAACCUCUGGAGAAUUAAAUGUCCCUCUCUAACACCUUUGAAGAGAGUAGUGGUUCUCCCAGCAUGCAGCUUGAGAUCUGAGAACGGGCAGACUGCCUCCUUAAGUGGGUCCCUGACCCCCGAGUAGCCCAAAUGGGAGGCACCCCCCAGUAGGGGCAGACUGACACCUCACACAGCCGGGUACUCCUCUGAGACAAAACUUCCAGAGGAACGAUCAGGCAGCAGCAUUUACGGUUCACCAAUAUCCGUUGUUCUGCAGCCACUGCUGCUGAUACCCAGGCAAACAGCGUCUGGAGUGGACCUCCAGCAAACUCCAACAGACCUGUAGCUGAGGGUCCUGACUGUUAGAAGGAAAACUAACAAACAGAAAGGACAUCCACACCAAAAACCCAUCUAUACGUCACCAUCAUCAAAGACCAAAGGUAGAUACAACCACAAAGAUGGGGAAAAAACAGAGCAGAAAAACUGGAAACUCUAAAAAUCAGAGUGCCUCUCCUCCUCCAAAGGAACGCAGCUCCUCACCAGCAAUGGAACAAAACUGGAAGGAGAAUGACUUUGACGCGUUGAGAGAAGAAGGCUUCAGAAGAUCAAACUACUCCGAGCUAAAGGAGGAAGUUCGAACCAAUGGCAAAGAAGUUAAAAACCUUGAAAAAAAAUUAGACGAAUGGCUAACUAGAAUAACCAAUGCAGAGAAGUCCUUAAAGGACCUGAUGGAGCUGAAAACCAUGGCACGAGAACUACAUGACGAAUGCACAAGCCUCAGUAGCUGAUGUGACCAACUGGAAGAAAGGGUAUCAGUGAUGGAAGACGAAAUGAAUGAAAUGAAGCGAGAAGAGAAGUUUAGAGAAAAAAGAAUAAAAAGAAAUGGACAAAGCCUCCAAGAAAUAGGGGACUAUGUGAAAAGACCAAAUCUAUGUCUGAUUGGUGUACCUGAAAGUGACGGGGAGAAUGGAACCAAGUUGGAAAACAUUCUGCAGGAUAUUAUCCAGGAGAACUUCCCCAAUCUAGCAAGGCAGGCCAACAUUCAAAUUCAGGAAAUACAGAGAACGCCACAAAGAUACUCCUCAAGAAGAGCAACUCCAAGACACAUAAUUGUCAGAUUCACCAAAGUUGAAAUGAAGGAAAAAAUGUUAAAAGGGCAGCCAGAGACAAAAGUUGGGUUACCCACAAAGGGAAGCCCAUCGGACUAACAGCUGAUCUCGGCAGAAACUCUACAAGCCAGAAGAGAGUGGGGACCAAUAUUCAACAUUCUUAAAGAAAAGAAUUUUCAACCCAGAAUUUUCAUAUCCAGCCAAACUAAGCUUCAUAAGUGAAGGAGAAAUAAAAUACUUUACAGACAAGCAAAUGCUGAGAGAUUUUGUCACCAACAGGCCUGCCCUAAAAGAGCUCCUGAAGGAAGCACUAAACAUGGAAAGGAACAACUGGUACCAGCCACUGCAAAAACAUGCCAAAUUGUAAAGACCAUCAAGGCUAGGAAGAAACUGCAUCAACUAACGAGCAAAAUAACCAGCUAACAUCAUAAUGACAGGAUCAAAUUCACACAUAACAAUAUUAACCUUAAAUGUAAAUGGGCUAAAUGCUCCAAUUAAAAGACACAGACUGACAAACUGGAUAAAGAGUCAAGACCCAUCAGC